RNAcentral lists this ribosomal RNA (868 nucleotides) under uncultured archaeon. RNAcentral describes it as "bacterial SSU rRNA". It matches the Rfam family "Archaeal small subunit ribosomal RNA", at positions 1 to 878 of the family's 1478-position model. The record is from RNAcentral.
CUCCGGUUGAUCCCGCCGGACCCGACUGCUAUCAGAGUGGGACUAAGCCAUGCGAGUCAACAUAGCAAUAUGUGGCAUACGGCUCAGUAACACGUAGUCAACAUGCCCAGGGGACGUGGAUAACCUCGGGAAACUGAGGAUAAACCGCGAUAAGUCACUACUUCUGGAAUGGGUAAUGACUCAAAUCUACAUGGCCCCUGGAUUGGACUGCGGCCGAUCAGGCUGUUGGUGAGGUAAUGGCCCACCAAACCUGUAACCGGUACGGGCUCUGAGAGGAGGAGCCCGGAGAUGGGCACUGAGACAAGGGCCCAGGCCCUAUGGGGCGCAGCAGGCGCGAAACCUCUGCAAUAGGCGAAAGCCUGACAGGGUUACUCUGAGUGAUUUCCGUUAAGGAGAUCUUUUGGCACCUCUAAAAAUGGUGCAGAAUAAGGGGUGGGCAAGUCUGGUGUCAGCCGCCGCGGUAAUACCAGCACCCCGAGUGGUCGGGACGUUUAUUGGGCCUAAAGCAUCCGUAGCCGGUUCUACAAGUCUUCCGUUAAAUCCACCUGCUUAACAGAUGGGCUGCGGAAGAUACUAUAGAGCUAGGAGGCGGGAGAGGCAAGCGGUACUCGAUGGGUAGGGGUAAAAUCCGUUGAUCCAUUGAAGACCACCAGUGGCGAAGGCGGCUUGCCAGAACGCGCUCGACGGUGAGGGAUGAAAGCUGGGGGAGCAAACCGGAUUAGAUACCCGGGUAGUCCCAGCUGUAAACGAUGCAGACUCGGUGAUGAGUUGGCUUAUUGCUAACUCAGUGCCGCAGGGAAGCCGUUAAGUUUGCCGCCUGGGGAGUACGGUCGCAAGACUGAAACUUUAAAGGAAUGGCGGGGGAGCA